AUGUUCCUACCCAAUGAAACUAUAUUUUAUACUGUUGGUUUGGCGGCAGUAACUUGGGCUAUUUGGCUUGCGCGUAAUAAGGCUACUUUUGAAAAACAAUUGAUCAAUUCUCCUUUUGAGAUUGUGUAUUCGGCUUGUUCGUUUCUCUUGUAUUGGGCAGGUCUUCAGCCGGUGAAAGAAGUGGCAAGAUUGCGACUCGGAGCUGAGAUGAUUAGAGCGAGCAUAACCAAGUUGAUGGCAAUGUGUGAAGGGGCCAGGCGCGCAACGGGAGACGAGGGUGAGGUGUUCUCUGGAUGA
Molecule: ribosomal RNA, 297 nt
Filed under: Triticum aestivum (bread wheat)
Lineage: Eukaryota; Viridiplantae; Streptophyta; Magnoliopsida; Poales; Poaceae
Description: partial small subunit ribosomal RNA
Source: RNAcentral